UGCAAAAUGGCGCACAAACAUUUGAUAUUGGUCUUUUGUUAAAUCUGGGAUUGGGCUAGAGUCUGUAUCUGCAAAUGCAACCGUGGACUUCCCUUUUUCAGUCUUCUUGUUGGGCCACCAGUCUGGGUAGCCCACCAGUUUAAAACAACCAUCGCGUUUAUGCCCUGAGCAAUUACAAUGAGUACAGUAAUCGUUCUCCUUCUUCUCUUUCUGGAUCUUCCAGUUGUUCUUCUGAUUGAAAGUCGGAUUUUUCCCUUGACUGGUCUUGAAUGUUGCAGCCUUCGGCGCCGAUCUGCUUUCACCGGAAAUAGAUCUCUGUCUCUCGUCCUCUGCAACCAGGUGGUACACCGCUCCCAAGGAUGGAAUCGGUUUGGUCGCUAGAAUCUGGGUUCUAAUUACGUUGAAAUCAGAGUCGAGCCCCAUUAGAAAUUGAUAAAGGCACUCCUUUUCUUGGUACUCUAGCAUCCGUUUCCCGUUUUUGCAGGUACAAUUCUUGCAAGUGCACACCGGAAGUGGCAAGAUCGACGACGCCUCAUCCCAUAAGGACCUCAGAUUGGUGUAGUAAGUUGAGACAGUCGUUCCGCUUUGUCGAGCAGCGGAUAUUUUUUGUCUCAAUUCGUACGCCCUUGGUGAGCUUUCUUUUCCAAAUCUCUCAUGCAAAUCCUUCCACAUCUGUGAGGCAGUCGUAGAAUAUUUGACACUAUCCUGUAUCGUUUUUCCAUUGCGGUGGCGAGCCAGCCUUUCACCAUGGCAUCGCACCGCAUCCACGGCAUGUAUUCGGGAGUCCCCUUUUCUGGUUUUGCAAGAGUUCCAUCAACAAACUCUAUUUUGUUCUUUGCAAAUAGGAAAUUUUGCAUCUCCUGUGCCCAAUCGACAUAAUUGGAAUCUGUGAGGAUGUCGUUGACAUGUAGUUGUUUUGGUACGUCAGAUGGAUGCAGAUAAUAGGGAGAAUUGUGAUCAAUGGGGUUGCUGGAGCUUCCUCCUUCUGUCUUCUUUUCGCCUGACAUCGAUUAAGAUACAGGUGAUGUUGUUUUGUUGUUUUGUUGUGUUUUAGAAUUUCUUGAACCGCUUUGAUACCAUCAUAAAUUUGAUGGUAUUGAAUUGUUGGUUUUCUCCUCUUCAUCGACAGAUCCCAUAAUGGGAUUAAAAAGAUACAAAGUUCCUAAACUAUUGGAAAAGAAAACGGAUAAAGCUAAUCUAAUCUAUCUAGCUCAACAUGAUAAAAGUUAUCAAGAAACUUAAAUUUUAAACAUAAAUUAAAUAUUAUCUAUUUCUAGUGCAUGAAUAAAAUGAUACGUCUGAUUUGUAAAGUAUCUUAUGAAAUAUUUAUGAAUUGCAUGUUGUGAAUGAAAUGUUAUUGAAAAGAAUGUGGUGUGUUAAUGCAUACAUAAUGUAAUUUAAUAUUUUAUCGACCCUUACUUGGAAUAUACUAUAUGUCCUUUUUAAAGCUCCUCAAUGCGGUUGGGGUCUAAUUUCUUUUGAGAAGCCGAUUUGGGUAAAAAAAAAAAAGAAAGAAUGUUGUGGAUCCGAUGGGAUAAAGUAUUGCCUGAUUUUGAUAAAGGAUGUUUGGGGGUGGGUCUUUGGCAGGGUUCAAUCGAGCCUUACUUUUGAAAUGCCGUUGGAGAUUUAUUAGUAACGGGGGCGAUCUUUGGACGCGUGUUGUGAAGAUGGACAAUGUUGUUAGUGGAGGGAUUAUUGAUAUGUGAAAAGGCAGACGAGUUUGGUCUAGUAUAGUGCCUGUUAUUGAUCAAAUUCAUGAAGGAACAUAGUUGCUUUUGAUAAAAAAUAAAUAAAUAAACCUAGAUGAUGUAAGGGAGUUCCAAAGAAAGUUAGGGGCUGUUUAUUUUUGUCAGCAGAUCUGCGUGUCCUCUUUUGUCUGCAUCGUGUAGAUAUAAUGAUUUGCAGUGUGUGUGUUUCAGAAGUCCGCAGACAUAGAAACAUAUGUGCGAGUUCUUCAUGACAAUGACAUAGUCUUAAGUCUUCUUAUGUCUCCACGCUUUAUUAAACCUAAAAAAAUACUCACAUCUUUCUCUCCAUAUAUCGGCUUCCCUACAACAUCUCAUUCACCAGACAUCUUCCUCCUCUCCUUUACGGUGUCCUCCAGACCCGUGGUCGACGUCAUCGCCAUCUAGGAGGACGUCCAAAGCUACCGCCAACAUCCAUCAACACCUCCUUACCAUCGACAGCUCCCUCCACCAUCGAACAUCUGAUCUACCUUCGUCCACUCACAUCAACGCUGCUUGUCACGCCCUUCGUCUCCAUCGCACACCAUCUCACAAAUGACGGCGAUGUUUGCUGCUACCGAUAAGUUGUUAGUAAAAUUUUUUCCCCUAAAAUCGGAUGAUAUCUUUUUAGGGUUUGUUGUUAAUGCUCUGAAAUCAAGAUAUUCAUUGUUGCUAAUUAUCAUAUAUAUUUGCUGAAAAUCCAUAUAAUUUGUUGAGAUUGUUCUAAUUUGAUGUUAUAUUUGCUGAAAAUGUAUAUAAUUUGUUGAAAUGUUGAAAUCUGAUGUUAUUGCUGUUGGAACUAAUUUUUCUCUAUUAAUCUUUUGCUUAAUCUAGAUAUGUAUAUAAUUUGUUUAGCUAGGGAUUUUGUAUAUGGACAUUUUCUUAUUUAUAUUUUCUAGGGACAUACAAAUUUUCUAAAGUUUUAAAUUAUAAUGAAGAACAUCAUGCUUAAAUAUGAAAGUUUCUUGGUUUGAUCUGAAUUAUUAAUCACAUAACAUCUUCUAAUAUUGAUUUUGUUGUUUGUAGGUACUUGAAUUGGCUGGAAAUGCCAUUAGGGACAAGUAAAAUAGUCUAAGUUCAAGGCUUGUUUUGUUGGCAAUUAGAAAUGAUAGAAGAACUUGAGAAAUUCCUUUUCUUGAAACUGUAUAUAGAUCAUAUAUAUGAUAAGUUAGUGCGUUUAUUUUUAGUGCAUUUAUUUUUAUCGAGAUCUAUUGAUUUAACAACUAGUCUUUUAUGACUUAAAUAUAGAGCUUUUUUGUUUGAUGCAAUAUUUUAGAAAAAUGAGUUUGCAUGUUUAAUUUAA
This 3027-nucleotide long non-coding RNA is filed under the name Lactuca sativa (garden lettuce). RNAcentral's name for it is "long non-coding RNA (LSAT_LNC000389)". The record is from RNAcentral. Lineage: Eukaryota; Viridiplantae; Streptophyta; Magnoliopsida; Asterales; Asteraceae.